RNAcentral lists this long non-coding RNA (547 nucleotides) under Ananas comosus (pineapple). RNAcentral describes it as "long non-coding RNA (ACOM_LNC011849)". The record is from RNAcentral. Lineage: Eukaryota; Viridiplantae; Streptophyta; Magnoliopsida; Poales; Bromeliaceae.
UAAAAGAAGAUUAGUGAAGAAAAUUUGGUCUUUCGACGAGGGUGUUGUUUAAUUAUUAGAGUUUACUAACAAAAGUUAACAUUUGAGGGCAAGAAAGAAAUAAUUUUUGAAAGAGAGCAAAAGAACUACUGAAUAGCAGUCCCUUAGGCUUCGUUUGGUUCGGGCAUAAGCAAGAACUAGUUAUAUCGGGGAUAGGUACAAGUAUGCAUGGAUUUUCGUAGGAACAAGGGUAUUUUUUUGUUUGGAUGAAAAUGUGAGUAUAAGCUGGAACUAGAAAAAUUAUGUUUGGAUGAAAAUGUGAGUAUAAGAUAGAAUAGUUGAUAGUUAUAAAUAGAAAAUAAUGAAAUAAUGAUAUUACCCUUAUAAUUGAAUUUAAAAUUUUAAACUUAUAAUUUUAAAUUGAAAUUUUUAACUUAAAAAUUUUAAAUUUUUAAAUUAAAAUUUUAAUUUUUAAUUUUUAAAAUUUUAAUUUUAAAUAUCAAAUUAUAAAUUUAAAACCAAAUUUAAAUUUGAAAGAUAUAAAAUAUCAAAUUUAAAAUUUAAAAAC